AAGUGAUUUACAGAUUAAAGUAUUUGUUGACUCAGUCUAUCUGGCACUGAAUUUGUAAAUCCAUCCUUUCUGUUUCAGUCAGGCAUGACUGGGGGAACAACCCUUAUAAGUAAAAGAAGCUACAUGAACAACUUUCUUGAAAUAAUGUCAGUGUUAUCUGCUUGUGGCUUGAGCUGCAUGGAAGGAACAAAGAACCUCCAUCAACCUGCUGCUAUUAGCAACACUGGGUGCAGGGCUGCUACCGCACAAGCUUCAUGGUGAUGUGAUGAAGAUCCAAGACGCUGAACACACACAUGCGUAUACAAAAAUUAUGUUACUCUUCAAACUUCUUGCCAAAUGCCACCAUACUGUCUUAUUCAGCUGGGAUGAAAUUGUUAUCUUCAGAGUGUUUGCUAUGAUGCUAUGUUCCGGUUCUAGGAGAAAAACAAUGUUGAUAACACACCAAUGUUUAUAGUUGCUGCUAAGCAGUAUUGUACAGAGCCAAGGUUAUUCACCUCCUAUUCACCAAAAGGCCCAAGGAGAUGGGAGGGAACAGAAUUAGGACAAGUGACUUAAACUGCCAAGUGGAUAUUCCAUACCAGAUGACAGCAUGUGGAAGGAGUUUUGAAGGGGUGAGAGUUCAUCUCUGUCUUCUGCUGCCCAGGAACUAGUUGGACAUUGGUCAGUGGGUAGCAAGCAAUUGCUUGUGCAUCACUUGUUAUAUACAUUCAUAUAUAUAUGAAUAUAUAUAUAUAUAUAUAUAUACAUAUAUAUAUAUAUACGGGUAUAGUCAUAACUAUUAUCCUGUUCAUUUUCUCUUUUUUAUUAAAUAGUUUUAUCUCAAAAUUCAACUUCUUUCUUCUUCCCUGAUUCUCUCCCCCCAUUCCACUGGGAAUGUGGUAAGUGUGCAAAUAACUGUGUAGUCCUGGGCCAUCUGCUGGGUUAAACCACAACACAGAGCAAAAGAUGAGUCUUUAAGCAACUGAAGGACACCAUAUCAUGGAUACUUUAGAGUGAUCAGAGUUCAGACCCCACUGAUAUAACUUAGAGCAAAGACUAGCUCCACAGAUCAGGGUGAAAGUUCAGUCUGUGAUAUGGGUACAAGACAGUCACAUGGUGUACUUUUUAAAAGUAUUUGCAAGUAAUGCUGGCAGCAAAUUUGUUUUGCUGUGUAAUGACCCACUCAUUCUUGUCUUCUGUUGCCUUUCAUUUCUGUUUUUUGUUUUUUUUUCCCCUUGAACUAGGAUGUAGGCAAUGAUCAGUGGGUGUGAGGCGUAACAUAAGAGGUCCCACAUAAAUAUGAGAAAAAACUUAUUCACGAUGAGGGUGACAGAACACUGAGAUAGGCUGC
RNAcentral lists this long non-coding RNA (1330 nucleotides) under Coturnix japonica (Japanese quail). Its description in RNAcentral is "lncRNA (ENSCJPG00005017577.1)". Lineage: Eukaryota; Metazoa; Chordata; Aves; Galliformes; Phasianidae. The record is from RNAcentral.